GCUCACUCACUGCAGCCCAGAGCAACAUCAGGAGGGAAACUGAGCGCCGCUAUAACCGCAUCUUCAGCGCACUCUGGGAACGGCUAGAGGCCCUCAUGCAGACCACCUAUUCGUGGACCACAGCAGGAGGCAUGUUCCAAGGUCCGACAAGUGCAGUUGCAGGGAGUAACAUGGCUUGCCCCACACACCUCACUCGCGCGACGGGCAAACACCGGCGCAGACGCUGCCAGCACAGAGUAGCCAAGAACCCAGAGACUCCCAUGCCACACCGCCAAAGGCUGGCCCACCAUGGCGCGAUGGCCCUGCAAAAACCCAAAAGCGGCAUUACCCACCUGAGAAGACGACUAAGCACAAGGCCCACAAUGGCGGCAACACCAACGCAACAGCGACCAGAGCCGCAGCCACUCAGCAAGGGGACGUUACACCCCCCCACUCCCAAGCGACUGAACAGGCGACCUUGCAACGGCCAGGACACACCGAACCCCCCUGGAGCAGGGCUGGAUGCGGCACAAAGAGGUGACACAGGUCGGAGACAGACAAAAGCAAUGGGAACUGAAACUCACAGUGGCCCGGUCCAUCCUACAUACCCCAUGGCUCACCUGGACAGAGACUGUUUAAAAUGGCCCAUUAAAG
Non-coding RNA from Pelobates cultripes (western spadefoot toad), 633 nucleotides. NCBI's taxonomy places the organism in Eukaryota, Metazoa, Chordata, Amphibia, Anura, Pelobatidae. The record is from the annotation of a GenBank genome assembly.